Molecule: RNA transcript, 10370 nt
Organism: Loxodonta africana (African savanna elephant)
Lineage: Eukaryota; Metazoa; Chordata; Mammalia; Proboscidea; Elephantidae
Gene: RAI1
Gene name: retinoic acid induced 1
Exons: 7
Source: RefSeq, a predicted model, not a curated record
CCCCGCGUGAGCGCGGCGCCGAGGUGAGCCCUUAGCGCCGGCCGGGGGCACAGGGGGCGCUGCCUGAGCUAGCAGGGCGGCGCGCCGCGUCCGGACCAGCUAGGACCUCAUCUGGUCGCUACGUUCUGGAAGAGGCGAGGGGGAGAGCGCGCGCGAGGAGCCGAGAGACGGAGGGCGAACGGGAGACGGCGAGCCGCGCAGCCCCGGCACCCGCGAGACCCAGGAGGAACCCGCAGGUCUGCGGCACCUCCAUCUCCAAGUCAGGGCGAGCUGACUCCGGGGCAGAGGGCUCCUGGCUGGCUGUCCUGGGCUCGUCCUGCUCAACUGGAUCUGUCGCCUUCUCUGGGUCAGCCCCCAGACGCUGAACUGAGCCCAGGGUCUACGUUGGGGUCCAGGCCACAGGAAGAGGGAUAACCAGCCCGAGUCAUGCAGUCUUUUCGAGAAAGGUGUGGUUUCCAUGGCAAACAGCAGAACUACCAGCAGACCUCACAGGAGACAUCACGCCUGGAGAGUUACAGGCAGCCAAGUCAGGCCGGGCUGAGCUGUGAUCGGCAGCGGCUGCUCACCAAGGACUAUUAUAACCAGCAGCCUUACCCAGGCUACGAGGGCAAUGCAGGCACGCCUGCUGGCUCGGCAGCCUCAGUGGUGGCUGAGAAGUACCACCGAGGCAGCAAAGCCCUGCCCUCGCAGCAGGCCCUGCAGGGGCGGCCAGCUUUCCCCAGCUACAGCGUGCAGGACAGCAGCCCAUACCCAGGCCGCUACUCGGGUGGAGAGGAGAGCCUGCAGGCCUGGGGGGCUCCACAGCCGCCACCCUCCCAGCCACAGCCCCUGCCGGGGGGCGUGGGCAAAUAUGAUGAGAGCUUGAUGAAAAAGACAGCAGUGCCCCCCAGCAGGCAGUACCCAGAACAGGGUGCCCAGCUGCCCUUUCGGACUCACCCCCUCCACGUGCAGCAGCAGCAGCAGCUACAACAGUUGCCGCAGCCUCAGCAGCCCCUGGUGUACCCAAAACUCCAGAGGCAGAAGCUGCAGAACGACAUCACCUCGCCGCUGCCCUUCCCCCAGAGCAGCCACUUUCCCCAGCACUCCCAGUCCUUCCCCGCCUCCUCCACCUACUCCCCAUCUGUGCAGGGUGGCGGGCAGGGGGCCCACUCUUACAAGAGCUGCACGGCACCGUCUGCCCCCUCCCACGACAGGCCGCUGACAGCCAACGCCAGUCUGGCCCCAGGGCAGCGGGUCCAGAACCUUCAUGCCUACGCAUCUGGCCGCCUCAGCUAUGAUCAGCAGAAGCAGCAGCAGCAACAAGCCCUUCAGAGCCGGCACCAUGCCCAGGAAACCCUCCAUUACCAAAACCUCACCAAGUACCAACACUACGGGCAGCAAGGCCAGGGCUACUGCCAGCCAGAUGCCGCCGUUCGGACUCAGGAGCAGUACUACCAGACCUUCAGCCCCAGCUCCAGCCACUCACCUGCACGCUCCGUGGGCCGCUCACCUUCCUACAGCUCUACCCCAUCGCCCCUGAUGCCAAACCUGGAGAACUUUCCCUACAACCAGCAGCCGCUUGGUACUGGGGCCUUCCCUGCUGGUAUCACCGACCAUAGCCACUUCAUGCCCCUGCUCAACCCCUCGCCAACGGAUGCCACCAGCUCUGUGGACCCUCAGGCUGGCAACUGCAAGCCUCUGCAGAAGGAUAAGCUCCCUGAGAGCCUGCUGUCGGAUCUCAGCCUGCAGAGCCUCACAGCCCUGACCUCACAGGUGGAGAACAUCUCCAACACCGUGCAGCAGCUGCUGCUUUCCAAGGCCGCCGUGCCGCAGAAGAAGGGGGUCAAGACCCUUGUAUCCAGGACCCCAGAGCAGCUCAAGAGCCAGCACUGCAGCCCUGAGGGCAGCAGCUACUUGGCUGAGCCAGUGGGCACACCACUGUCGGAGCCGCUGAGCAGCACCCCACAGUCCAUCCACGCCGAGCCCCCGGAGGUUGAUUACCUCAGUGGCUCCGAGGACCCUCUGGAUCGCAGCUUCCUCUACUGCAACCAGGCACGUGGCAGCCCUGCCAGGGUCAACAGCAACUCCAAGGCCAAGCCUGAGUCUGUGUCCACCUGCUCUGUGACUUCGCCAGAUGACAUGUCCACCAAGUCUGACGACUCCUUCCAGAGCCUCCACAGCAGCCUGCCGCUAGACAGCUUCUCCAAGUUUGUGGCAGGUGAGCGCGACUGUCCACGGCUGCUGCUCAGUGCCCUGGCACAGGAGGACCUGGCCUCUGAAAUCCUGGGGCUGCAGGAGGCCAUGGUGGAAAAGGCUGAUAAGGGCUGGGCCGAGGGGCCCAGUCUGGGCAAGGAUGUCAGCAAGCCUCCCUUCUCUCUGGAGAACCAUAGCACCUGCCUGGACCCUGGAGCCAAGAGCGGGUGGCCACGGCCAGGGGAACCAGAGGCUCUGCCUGACCCCUUGCAGCUGGACAAGGGCGGCAACACCAAGGACUUCAGCCCAGGGCUGUUUGAGGACCCCACCGUGGGCUUUGCUACUCCUGACCCCAAAAAGACGGCUGGGCCCCUCUCCUUCGGCACCAAGGCCCUCAUCGGGGCGGCCCCCACAGACCCGGCCACAGCAGCCUUCGACUGCUUCCCAGACACAGCCACCGCUGGCUCAGCAGACAGCAACAACCCCUUCGCCUGGCCAGAGGAGAACCUGGGCGACGCCUGCCCCCGGUGGGGCCUGCACUCUGGGGAACGUAACAAGGGCCUGGAGCCAGGCGGGAAGGCCUUGGAGGGCGCCAGCAAAGAGGGUGCCCAGGAGGCGCCGGCCUGCCUCAGUUUCCAGGGGGAGGAGCCCACAGGGGAGAAGGCAGCUGUGCCUGGGGACUUCAAGCAGGAGGAGGCGGGUGGGGUGAAGGAGGAGGCUGGGGGGCUCCUGCAGUGCCACGAGGUGGGCAAGGCUGACCGCUGGCUGGAGGAGAGCCGGCACUGCUGUGCUGCCGCUGACUUUGGGGACCUCCCGCUCCUACCGCCUGCCGGCAGGAAGGAGGACCUAGAGGCCGAGGAAGAGUACUCCUCCCUGUGUGAGCUCCUGGGCAGCCCCGAGCACAGGCCCAGCCUGCAGGACCCGCUGUCCCCCAAGGCCCCACUGGCCUGCACUAAGGAGGAGGUGGAGGAGGCGCUGGACGCAAAAUCUGGCUGGGCCUCGCCCUGCCACCUGUCGGGGGACUCUGUCAUCCUGCUGGGCCCCACCGUGGGCGCUGAGUCCAAGGUCCAGAGCUGGUUCGAGGCCUCCCUGUCCCACAUGAAGCCAGGCGAGGAAGGCCCUGAUGGUGAACGGGUGCCAGGGGACACCACCACCCCGGACACCUCGCUGGCCCCAAAGCUCAACAAGCCUGCUGUGCCCGAGACCCCCAUCGCCAAGAAAGAGCCCGUGCCACGGGGCAAAAGCUUGCGGAGUCGGCGGGUGCACCGGGGGCUACCCGAGGCCGAGGACCCCCCGUGCAGGGCGCCAGCCCUGCCCAAGGACCUCCUGCUCCCUGAGUCCUGUGCAGGACCCCCCCAGGGGCAGAUGGAAGGGGCAGGGGCCCCGGGGCGGGGCACCUCAGAAGGGCUCCCCAGGAUGUGCACGCGCUCCUUCACAGCCCUGAGCGAGCCCCGCACACCUGGCCCCCCGGGCCUGCCCACUACACCCGCACCCCCAGACCGGCUAGGGGGCAAGCAGCGAGCGGCCUUCAAGUCAGGCAAACGGGUGGGGAAGCCCUCGCCCAAGGCUGCAUCCAGCCCCAGCAACCCUGCUGCCCUGCCUGUGGCCUCCGACAGCAGCCCCAUGGGCUCAAAAACCAAGGAGCCGGACUCGCCUGGCACCCCAGGCAAAGACCAGCGUUCUAUGAUUCUCCGGUCCCGCACCAGAACCCAGGAGGCCUUCCAUGCCAAGCGGAGGCGGCCGACAGAGAGCCGGCUGCCCAACUGCCGCACCACCAAGAAGCUGCUCACAAACAACCACCUGCCUGCGCCCUUCAAGGCCUCUGGUGGCCCCCAGAAGGAGGGCAGGGCAGGCCAGCGGGCACGGGUCCCCAAGCCCGGCGGGAGCAUCGGUAAGUCAUCUGAGCGGCCCCUGCACGCGCUCAAGCGGAAGGCCUCCUUCAUGGCCCCGGUCCCCACCAAGAAGCGAAGCCUGGUGUUAAGGAGCAGUGGCAGCAGCGGCAGUAGCUGUGGGGGGGAUGCUCAAGAGGAGAAGACCGAGGGCACCCUCACCCUCUUCAAGAGGUUGUCUUCUCCCAAGAAAGCCAAGCUGGCCAAGGGCAGUGGUGGUGAGCCGCCUGCAAAGCCCCCACCCCCAGAGGCUCCCAGCGUCUGUAUCAAGAUGGCCUCGAGGGCUGCCUUCCAGGGGGCCAUGAAAACCAAGGUGCUGCCCCCCCGCAAGGGCCGGGGACUGAAGCUGGAGGCCAUCGUGCAGAAGAUCACCUCGCCCAGCCUCAAGAAGUUCGCGUGCAAAGUGGCACCUGGGGCCGCGCUUGCUGACCCCCUGAGCCCAGCCCUCCCCGAGAAGGAGCGGGGGCUCAAGAGCACGGGAGGCAGCCCUGCAGGGGCAGAAGAAGGGCUGUUAACCACGGGUGUGGGGCAGAAGCUCCCAGCAGCUCUGGGGGCUGACCCUUUAUGCAGAAGUCCGAACAACAGAUCCUUAAAAGGCAAACUCGUGAACAGUAAGAAACUGUCCUCAACCGACUGUUUCAAAACUGAGGCCUUUACAUCCCCAGAGGCCCUGCCACCCGGAGGGACCACCCUGGCUCCUAAGAAGAGAAGCAGGAAGGGCAGGGCUGGAGCACUGGGACUCCCCAAAGGCCCUCUGGAUAAACGGCCCCACCUGGGCCCAGCUCUGCUCCCGACCCCACGGGACAGGGCCAACAGCACGCAGGGAGGUGAUGAGGACAUUUCUGGUGGAGGAGGCAAAAAGCCAAAGAUGGAGGAGCUGGGCCUGGUCUCCCAGUCCCCCGAGGGCCCACCCUGCCAGCCCCAGACUAGGGCACAGAAGCAGCCAGGCCAUGUAAACUACAGCAGCUAUUCCAAGCGGAAGCGGCUCACGCGAGGCCGGGCUAAGAAUGCCACCUCCUCACCCUGCAAGGGGCGUGCCAAACGUAGGCGGCAGCAGCAGGUGCUGCCCCUGGAUCCUGCAGAACCUGAAAUCCGCCUCAAGUACAUUUCCUCCUGCAAACGGCUUCGGGCUGACAGCCGGAUCCCAGCCUUCUCACCCUAUGUGCGGGUGGAGAAGCGAGACGCUUUCACUACCGUAUGCACUGUUGUCAACUCCCCUGGGGAGGAGCCCAAGCCCCAUAGGAAGCCUUCCUCCUCCACCUCCUCCUCUUCCUCCUCAUCCUCCUUCUCUUUGGACGCCGCUGGAGCCUCCCUGGCCACGCUCCCUGGAGGCUCUGUUUUGCAGCCACGGCCCUCCCUGCCCCUCUCCUCCACCAUGCACCUGGGGCCCGUGGUCUCCAAGGCCCUUAGUACCUCUUGCCUUGUUUGCUGCCUCUGCCAAAACCCGGCCAACUUUAAGGACCUCGGGGACCUCUGCGGCCCCUACUACCCUGAACACUGCCUCCCCAAAAAGAAGCCAAAACUCAAGGAGAAGGUGCGGCUGGAGGGCGCCUGCGAGGAGGCCUCACUGCCCCUAGAGAGAACACUCAGAGGCCUUGAGUGUGCAGUUGCUGCCACCGCUGGAAAGCCCCCCAGGCCUGAUGGCCCAGCUGACCCAGCCAAGCAGGGCUCACUGCGCACCAGUGCCCGGGGCCUGUCCAGGCGACUGCAGAGUUGCUACUGCUGUGAUGGCCAGGGGGAUGGUGGUGAGGAGGCGGCCCCAGCUGACAAGAGUCGCAAGCAUGAGUGCAGCAAGGAGGACUCGGCGGAGCCCAGCGGGGGCACCCAGGAGCACUGGGUGCACGAGGCCUGUGCUGUGUGGACAGGCGGGGUCUACCUGGUGGCCGGGAAGCUCUUUGGGCUGCAGGAGGCCAUGAAGGUGGCCAUGGACAUGACAUGUUCCAGCUGCCAAGAAGCCGGGGCCACCAUUGGGUGCUGCCACAAAGGAUGCGUCCACACCUACCAUUACCCGUGUGCCAGCGAUGCCGGUAAGAGCCAGCCCGCAGAGGCAGGAAGGGUCCUGAAGGCCUGUCAUGCAGACCAGGAGGACCCUGAGCACAGCUCCUUGAGUCCAGGCCCCAUGUGACCCCUUGGCUUUCCUUCUCUCUUGCCCCAGAGGUUCUUUAUCUCCUUGCCUCUUCUUUACCUGGGCCUGCACUGGGCAAUGCCAGGGACAGAAGAUGAGUCAGUCCCCAGACCCCCUUUUGAAGAAUGACCAGUCUGAUGGGGGAGACCGGGCGUACGUUAUAAAAUGGAGAGCUGUUCAAGAAGCUGUCAUUGCCAAGGGGUGGGCAGGAUCUCUGGCCUCAGAAAGGAAGGCGUACUGGGGCUGGGCCUUUGAAGGAUGAGUAGGAGUUCCCUGGGCAGAGAAGAAGGGAAGGGAUAGCAAAAACAGAAUGAAGUGGAAGGAGAUGAGAUUCGGAAGAGCAACUGAGGCCAAGUUAUCUUUUGAUGAUGGAGAACAGGUAUGGAAUGUUUAAGCAGGGUGAUAGGGUCUAAAGACGGGACCAGGCUCCCCUGGAGCCUCUCACCCAUUCUCUACUCUAACUCAUUUGUUGAGCACCUACUAUUGCCAGGCAUGCAGAAUGACAGACUGCAAGGGCUAGAGAGAUCUGAGAGCCUCAACCCUCAUCACCUAGGUGGGGAGAGCAAGGCUCAAAGACAAUUCUUACUUCAUCCAAAGGAAGAAAUUGGUUACCUUGGCCUUUUAGUCAUCCAUGAUGGAGUUAUUUUAGGUUUAGGGGCAGCUUUUACAUGGAUUCAACCCCUGGUGGCAGUCUUACUGUGUGGCCUUGAGCAAGUCUCUACACAGUUUCCCCAUCCGUAAAAUGGGGAUUAUAAUAAUCUCUUCUUGGAGCUAUUUGGAACAGGGAGUGGAAUAAUAAACACACAAGUCUUUGGCCAUAUGGGGGUCCCAGGGAAUGCAGCCUCAGCCCACCUGACCUCUGUCUCCCUUGUCUCCCUCCCUGUGCUCACCCCAUGCCCCACCAGGUGAGUUACCUAGAUGUGGACAGAGAGCUAGGGGGUGGGAGGCUCCAGCUCCCUCCACCCCUCCCUCUGAGCUGAAAGAGGGAUGACAUGCUCAUGACCCUGCUUCGUGGAUGGAGAAGACGAGGCCAUGUCACUCUCCCAAGGCCAGCAGGACCCUCCCACUGCCUAGAGACCAGCUGCCUCUCCUCCCGACCUGGUGCACACUCCUGCUGUGCUGGGCAGGGGACUGCUUCCUGUCCCUACUUGCCUGCCUGGUCCUGGCUGGCACCCGCCCCUCCCCAAGCCAGGCUUUGAGUGGUGACAGCUCCGUGGAGGGCUGAGCCAACAGCUGGCUCCCCUGUCCACCCCACAAGCGUGGAAAACCAGAUUUUAAUCUGGACUCAGCUACUUAACAAGACACAUGGCCUCACAACUAAUUAACAGCUACCAUGGGCUGUAGUUUUCACCCUGCUGUGAUUUUUUUAGCACCUUCUUUGUGUCGUGCCCUAUGUAGGCACCUGCGUUACCUCCACUUGCUCCUUUGCAGGGAAGUUGCCUCAUCCAAGGUCCACACAGCAUCGCCUGGGCAUAACCAGGGUGUGGUCCCACAUCCUUAUUCCAUACCCCAUGCUCUUGCUCCUACCCCAAUAUUGUCCAGCCCCCUAAGGGGCUCACAUUUGAGUGGGACACACAGGGAGAACCUGAUUCUUGCCUGAUGCAGACCAGACAGGGAGAAUGUGUGCUGUGAGAGAUUCAUCCUGCCUGAGCUAGAGGCAAUCCCAGAAGACUUCUAGGAGGAGGUGACAUUUGAGCCAGGCCUUGAAAGACCAGAGGACAGAAGGGGUGGGCAGUGGCUGAUUAGUGUUGGGACUUGUACAUCAGGCUUUUGCAACAGAACUUUUGUUAUAAAUCAGAUUCUGGAAGUAUUCCCCAUAUAACAGAGACCUCCAUAAAGACACUGGAUUGAAGUAGGAGGGGGGCCCAAGGCUAGAGAGGCAAGGCACUGACCGAGAUCAGAACUGUGUGUAAGAAAGAGCUGAUGGGACUACUGUAACAGUUCAGGCAAGAGAUGAUUCAGACUCAUAGCAACCCUAAAGGACAGAGUAAAACUGCCCCAUUGGGUUUCCAAGGAGCUCCUGGUGGAUUCGAACUGCCGACUUUUUGGUUAGCAGCUGUAUCUCUUUAACUACUAUGCCACUAGGGUUUCUGUGGCUUAAAUAGCAGCCCUUUAUUAUUUCUUAUGGUGGGAGAGUGGGCUUCUUUCUGCCAAGCUCACUCUUGGGCUGUAGUGUGCUGUUGGGCCCACUGGUUCAGGAUGAUCCAGAAUGACGUCAGCUGAGCAUGGCCUCUGCUGCACGUGGUCACUCACACUCCACAAGCCAGCAUAUCCUCAUGGCCUCGGCGGGCUCAGAAGUGGCCAGAGUUACAAGGCCUAGGCUGGGAACUGACAGAACGGCUCUUCCAAAGCAUUCUAUCUGCCAAAGUUAGUCUCAAGACCAGCCCAGAUCCAAGUGGUGGAAAACAGAUCCCAAUUCCUGAUGGGCGGGUAGUGGGGGCGGGGGCGGUUUCACAGUUCCAUUGCAAAAAGGCUCGGCUACAGGAGGGGGAGAAUUGGGGCUGUUUUAGCAGUGCAGUCACAGAGGGCAGGUUCCCUUUGGACACACGGGGCAUGGUCACAGCCAGGUUCUAGAGAGACUCACCAGCACCAGCAGGUGGGGGGGGCCAUCAGGGGAGCAGGGGGAGAGAGGGCACCGUCAUUUUACAGCCUGCAGCGGUGGAGGAGUUGAAGGGGGACCACUGGCAAACCGAGGAGCUGAAGCCAAAGAAGGUUGCAUAUUCAUGGAAGAGAACUUUUCUUUGAAAUGUCCCAAGCAUAAGAGGCUGCCGUUGUAACCACCCUCAACGGCUGGGGGAGCCGCUGGAGCCCGCCCGCCCUCCUGCCGCUGAAGGAAAGGAGCCGCCUGCGGGUCCGGAGCCGAUCCUUGAUCCGGAUCCCGGAUCUUGGAUCCGGCCGCCUGGGGCUGAGACUUGUAGCCCCUGGUUGGGCAGAAAAUUCCUUCCGAAGCCGCCUGCUCCAAGGAACUGGACGGCACGGGGCGCUCUCGCCUACUAACCCGGAGCCGGGCUUGGAGGGGAGCUUGCGGAGCGGCCAGACUCCUUGGGGCACCCAAGCUCCGGUGGGUCUGGGAGACGGCUCUGGCCUGGGGACGCGCCUCCCCCCGGAAGUUCUGAGACGAAGUGGCACGCACCUAUAUGGGUGCUGACGCCACCCCAGUCAGUCGUGGCGCGCAGCUGGGCGAACUGGGGGGCUCAAGGGGCCCUGGGGGAGGGAGAGGGAGGCUCCUGCCUCCGUAAGUGAGGCGGGGGAAAGCCGGAGCCUUUUCCAGUGAGCGCUAGGCCGGCGGGGGAGGGGGCCGGAGCCUCUGGAACUAAACGUUUGGAACGCGCCCUUCCCACUCAGCGUUUGCCUAAGCUUUCGUGCGGGCCCCGGGGAGCCCGGCACCCAUGCUCAGGGGAUGCCGGCUCCCCGCGUGGGACCGGACUGGGGUACCCCUUUGGCUUCUGUUCGUCCUUUCCCAGUCCUCCACCCCAGCCCUGGAGCCAAGCCUAGGAGGAGCCCAAAAGGAAAGAGACCCUGCCAGAGCGCACCUUUGGCGGAUGCGGCCAUCGUUCCUCUGCACGACUACCGUCUCCGGGGACCGCAACACCCACUCAGCACGGGAGCAGGGACAGCGCUAGAUUUGUGUACAAAACCUGUGUACCCCUCUAUAUAUGUUACAUAGAAUGUAUAUAUGUUGGGAACAUGCUCGCUUUUCCAGUGUGUCGCUGCUGUGCGUCGUGCGCCCUGCUGCACGGAGCCCCAACCAGGCCCUUGCGGGGGAUGGGGCUGCCGCGAUGCCCCUUCCCUACGCAGUCACCACCCGCCUGGGCCAGCCCCUGCCAGUCCGUCUGCCUGUCAAUCUGUGUCCUCAGUUCUGUCCACGCUUCGAUAGGCCUGACGCAGCUCCCAGACCGGGCCGCCCUAGUGACUUGUACAUAUGACUGUAAAAUGGUAAACGUGUGUAUUAUAUCUGGCCUCGUUAUAUAGUGUAUAUAUAUGUAUACAUAUACAUAUAUAUAAUAUAUAUGAAGACUGUAAAUGUUAAGACGACUAGUGUUCUUAUUAGUAUAUUGCUUCACACUGAAGAUUGUGUGUAUCGAGCUGUUUCUAAAAGAUGUUUAUUUUCCUUAAGAGUAAAAAAACAGUCAUUGCAUUCAGAAAAAAAAGAAGUCAAUAAAGAUACAACGAUUGUUUUGGAA